AAGUCGUAACAAGGUUUCCGUAGGUGAACCUGCGGAAGGAUCAUUAAUGGAAUAAACCUGGUGGACUGUCGCUGGCUCUCUUGAGAGCAUGUGCACGUCUGUCAUCUUUAUCUUUCCACCUGUGCACCUUUUGUAGACCUGGAUGCUUAAUAUAUCAAUCUGAGGUCAACUCAGGCGUGAGGACUGUCGGCGUCGCAAGAUAUCGGCUUUCCUUGUAGCAUUCCAGGGACUAUGUUUUUCAUACACACUUUAAAAAUCUAAUAGAAUGUCGUUUUAAAAAGGUCUUUGUACCUAUAUAAAACAAAUAUACAACUUUCAGCAACGGAUCUCUUGGCUCUC
RNAcentral lists this unclassified non-coding RNA (339 nucleotides) under Crepidotus crocophyllus. RNAcentral describes it as "partial internal transcribed spacer region". The stretch from base 1 to 46 matches the Rfam family "Eukaryotic small subunit ribosomal RNA", at positions 1786 to 1831 of the family's 1831-position model. The record is from RNAcentral. Lineage: Eukaryota; Fungi; Basidiomycota; Agaricomycetes; Agaricales; Crepidotaceae.